This is a small nucleolar RNA of Lolium rigidum, 81 nucleotides long. RefSeq annotates it as small nucleolar RNA Z159/U59. NCBI's taxonomy places the organism in Eukaryota, Viridiplantae, Streptophyta, Magnoliopsida, Poales, Poaceae. The record is from RefSeq and is a predicted model, not a curated record. The transcript has a single exon.
GUCUCCGAUGAUGAUCCAUUUAUACUUUCGUUCUUCUGAAAUUCUCGGUGUGGAAGAACUGGAGACCUGAACUGAGGAGAC